GUCUACGGCCAUACCACCCUGCACAUGCCCGAUCCCGUCUGAUCUUGGAAGCUAAGCAGGGUCGGGCAUGGAUAGUACUUGGAUGGGAGAAAAACCAGACAGUGCAGGAU
This is a ribosomal RNA of Erinaceus europaeus (western European hedgehog), 110 nucleotides long. NCBI's taxonomy places the organism in Eukaryota, Metazoa, Chordata, Mammalia, Eulipotyphla, Erinaceidae. The record is from Ensembl.